GCAUGGUUUCAUUAUUAAAGGAUUCCGGUAAAGGAUGGGGAUGCGUUCCAUUAGGUUGUUGGUGAGGUAACGGCUCACCAAGCCUUCGAUGGAUAGGGGUUCUGAGAGGAAGGUCCCCCACAUUGGAACUGAGACACGGUCCAAACUCCUACGGGAGGCAGCAGUGAGGAAUAUUGGUCAAUGGGCGGUAGCCUGAACCAGCCAAGUAGCGUGAAGGAUGAAGGCUCUAUGGGUCGUAAACUUCUUUUAUAUAAGAAUAAAGUGCAGUAUGUAUACUGUUUUGUAUGUAUUAUAUGAAUAAGGAUCGGCUAACUCCGUGCCAGCAGCCGCGGUAAUACGGAGGAUCCGAGCGUUACCCGGAUUUAUUGGGUUUAAAGGGAGCGUAGGUGGACUGGUAAGUCAGUUGUGAAAGUUUGCGGCUCAACCGUAAAAUUGCAGUUGAUACUGUCAGUCUUGAGUACAGUAGAGGUGGGCGGAAUUCGUGGUGUAGCGGUGAAAUGCUUAGAUAUCACGAAGAACUCCGAUUGCGAAGGCAGCUCACUGGACUGCAACUGACACUGAUGCUCGAAAGUGUGGGUAUCAAACAGGAUUAGAUACCCUGGUAGUCCACACAGUAAACGAUGAAUACUCGCUGUUUGCGAUAUACAGUAAGCGGCC
Molecule: ribosomal RNA, 657 nt
Filed under: uncultured bacterium
Lineage: Bacteria
Description: bacterial SSU rRNA
Rfam family: Bacterial small subunit ribosomal RNA
Source: RNAcentral